Molecule: long non-coding RNA, 1971 nt
Organism: Acinonyx jubatus (cheetah)
Lineage: Eukaryota; Metazoa; Chordata; Mammalia; Carnivora; Felidae
Exons: 5
Source: RefSeq, a predicted model, not a curated record
GUGUACAAGUGAAAGGUGAUCUGACCUGUAGUAUAACCAGAUUUCUGUAGCUAAUUAAAUACAAUUUUUCCUAUAGUUUAUUACUUAUUCCACAGUAUUCAUGUUCACUGCCACUAUAACGGUCCAGAUACCAGGCUCACAGAGGUGACCAAGACCAACUUUCUGUCUCUGAGGAGAUCCUAGUUCGGUGGUUUACAUAAUUAGCAGUAGUGCGUCUCCUUAAAAGAAUUGCAUACCAAAAGAAAAACAUAAAUAUAUCCUUUUCAUUUUUCCUUCUUUUUCUUCUAGAUGAGGAUAGGCAUUCACUCAGGUUCUGUGCUCGCCGGAGUUGUUGGGGUAAGAAUGCCACGGUACUGCCUGUUUGGAAAUAAUGUCACUCUGGCAAGCAAAUUCGAGUCAGGAAGUCACCCUCGGCGCAUCAACGUCAGCCCUACCACUUACCAACUGUGUGCUCCUGGUGACUAUGCCAGCUUGGAGAUUUGGAUGUGAUGGACUGAGGAUCCUGGAGCACUCCUUGCUGAGGCUUCCCUGGUGGGAUGUCCAGAACUACACUGGAUGCAGUCCAGGCUGUCUGUGCAGAGGGUGCCCUGGCAGGACAACUGCAGUGGAAGUGGAUGUAAGAUGAGGGAUCCUGGGGAUCUCUGCACCAAGGAUGGCCAAGAGCCAUUCAGUCAGCCCUCAGUCCUGCAGGAGGAAUUGCUCUGUAAGUAGGACACCAUUGGAAACAUCAGUUAUAUUACCAAAGCUUUGACUGGAAUGUCAUGUUUGACAGACGUGCAUAGACUCAGAUAUGACCAUACAGUUUUAAGGAAGUACGGCUGACUUUAUGAAGCACGGAGUCAAUAAAGCACCUUUGGAAAUGUUGAUCUGAUACCUUGCUUAUUACAGAGUUCCCAGCAGCCUUACCACCCCUGAAUAUUGAUGCUGCACCAUUUGGGGUGGACUUCAGAGAAAUGGGCACAAAGCUUGUGUAUGGAGAAUCUUCGUGCUUGUUGCUCUAUGGGUCAUUCAAAAGGAUCACCAGAGACAUUUGAAUUACAAACCAAAAAAACUCAUCUGAUUCCUGCUGCCUGUUCCCACUCCACCUGAGGAUGCUUCAAUUCUGACAUCUAAAAACCUUCUCAUUGGUAGCGCUGGAGACUGAGACACUAAGUUUGUAAUUUUCUACAACCAUUAACUGAAAAUUUUCUUUUGUUUCCAUAGAAGUUCCACUUAUUAAUUACCGAAUUGCUUGCCGAAUAAAACAGACUCUAUAUGAUGGCAAACACCACCUGCUACACGAUUAAGGCCUUAAGUGACUCUCAAAAUAGCAUUACAUUAUGAAACAUUGAAAUAACUCAAAUGCGUAAAGCAAAAUUGAAUGGUCUGAGAUGUCUUUUAAAAAAUUUUUUUUUAAAUGUUUUUAUUUAUUUUUGAGACAGAGAGAGACAGAGCAUGAGCAGGGGACGGGCAGAGAGAGAGGGAGAUACAGAAUCCAAAGCAGGAUCCAGGCUCUGAGCUGUCAGCACAGAGCCCAAUACGGGGCUCAAACUCACAGACCAUGAGAUCGUGACCUGAGCCGAAUUCGGACGCUUAACCGACUGGGCCACCCAGGUGCCCCAAAGAAGAGGUUUUUCUUUUUUUUUUAAUGUUUACUUAUUUUGAUAGAAAGUGAGUGAGUGGAAGAGGGGCAGAGAGAGAGAGAGAGAGGGACAGAGGAUCUGAAGCAGGUUCUGUGCUGACAGCAGAGAGCGCAACGUGGUGCAAGAACUCACAAACCCUGAGAUCAUGACCUGAGGUGAAGUUAGAUGCUCAACAGACUGAGCCACCUAGGCGACCCUUGAAUGGUCUGAGAUGUCUUAAGAGCAGCAAGAGGAACACGCUUCAUUAUUAAAACAGAAUGUUCUGUAUGUUGCAGAUUAUCACAAAAAUGUAAACAUGAUUGCUAAAAGAUACGGAUUGGUGCCUUAAAUGACCUCACUCUGUAAACUC